GAUGAACGCUGGCGGCGUGCCUAAUACAUGCAAGUCGAGUGAACAGACGAGGAGCUUGCGCCUCUGACGUUAGCGACGGACGGGUGAGUAACACGUGGAUAACCUACCUAUAAGACUGGGAUAACUUCGGGAAACCGGAGCUAGUACCGGAUAAUAUAUUGAACCGCAUGGGGCAAUAGUGAAAGACGGUUUUGCUGUCACUUAUAGAUGGAUCCGCGCCGCAUUAGCGAGUUGGUAAGGUAACGGCUUACCAAGGCAACGAUGCGUAGCCGACCUGAGAGGGUGAUCGGCCACACUGGAACUGAGACACGGUCCAGACUGCUACGGGAGGCAGCAGUAGGGAAUUUUCCGCGAUGGGCGAAAGCCUGACGGAGCAACGCGGCGUGAGUGAUGAAGGCCUUCGGAUCGUAAAACUCUGUGAUUAGGGAAGAACAAAUGUGUAAGUAACUAUGCACGUCUUGACGGUACCUAAUCAGAAAGCCACGGCUAACUACGUG
Molecule: ribosomal RNA, 497 nt
Filed under: uncultured bacterium
Lineage: Bacteria
Description: partial 16S ribosomal RNA
Rfam family: Bacterial small subunit ribosomal RNA
Source: RNAcentral